GUCAGAUGGCAAUUUGUAGAGAACAAUGAAAAAACGUAAAAAAAGAGAGUCAGAGAGAGAGAAAAAAAGAGAACAGUUCUAAAUAAAUAACAUUAAAAAAAACAAUAGCGGAAGUAGUCAGUAGUAGCGCAUUCCGACGACGGACGCAUGGACAAAAUAAAUCAUGCAUAAAUAUCGUUCAUCCCGGCCAGGCAGCAGCUGGACGGAGGGAGGUCCAUUGAGCCACGAGCCACUCCACUCCACAACGGGCGAGUGCGCAGUGUGGUUGCAAAGCUUCAGACUCUCUCAGAUUAACACUAGACGAUGAUGAACUAAGAGAAGGCAAGGAAGAAGAAAUAAAAGAAGAAAUAGUAGUAAAAAAUAGAAGUA
Molecule: long non-coding RNA, 369 nt
Filed under: Penaeus japonicus
Lineage: Eukaryota; Metazoa; Arthropoda; Malacostraca; Decapoda; Penaeidae
Description: uncharacterized LOC122267716
Source: RNAcentral